UGCUGCCGGGGGGGGGGCCGGGGGGGGGGGACAGCAGAGACACGGGUGGGUGUCACCACGGGGCCCUGGGGACAGCAGGGACAUGGUCGGGGGACACCACAGGGCCCUGGGGACAGCAGAGAUGUGGGGGACCGUCCACCUGGGAAGGUCUUGGGGACGGCAGCGGGGAGGGGGACGCGGGCCGGCCUCCGGGGCGGCUCACACGGCGACGGGCUCCUGGACGUGGUUCUGGCGCUUCACCACGAAGAGCUUCUGCCCGGAGACGGUGACGAGCAGGGAGUGUUCCCCGAACACCACUGCGGGGACAGGGUGAGCGCGGGGCCACCGAGGCCACCACCGUCGCCCCGGGGACGCCACCCUCCUGGAGGCAGGGCGAGUGCGGGGCCACCGGGGUCGUCACCAUCACCCUGGGGACAGGGUGAGUGUGGGGCCACCACGGUCAUCACCAUCACCCUGGGGACACCGGGGACACCACUCCCUAGGGACAGAGUGAGCGUGGGGCCACCGAGGCCACCACCAUCACCCUGAGGACACUG
Molecule: long non-coding RNA, 536 nt
Filed under: Apteryx owenii (little spotted kiwi)
Lineage: Eukaryota; Metazoa; Chordata; Aves; Apterygiformes; Apterygidae
Description: lncRNA (ENSAOWG00000002468.1)
Source: RNAcentral